RNAcentral lists this ribosomal RNA (540 nucleotides) under uncultured bacterium. RNAcentral's name for it is "bacterial SSU rRNA". It matches the Rfam family "Bacterial small subunit ribosomal RNA", at positions 969 to 1509 of the family's 1533-position model. The record is from RNAcentral.
CCUUACCAGGUCUUGACAUCCCUUGACAACUCCAGAGAUGGAGCGUUCCCUUCGGGGACAAGGUGACAGGUGGUGCAUGGUUGUCGUCAGCUCGUGUCGUGAGAUGUUGGGUUAAGUCCCGCAACGAGCGCAACCCUUAUUACUAGUUGCCAGCAUUUAGUUGGGCACUCUAGUGAGACUGCCGGUGACAAACCGGAGGAAGGUGGGGAUGACGUCAAAUCAUCAUGCCCCUUAUGACCUGGGCUACACACGUGCUACAAUGGCGUAUACAACGAGUUGCCAACCCGCGAGGGUGAGCUAAUCUCUUAAAGUACGUCUCAGUUCGGAUUGUAGGCUGCAACUCGCCUACAUGAAGUCGGAAUCGCUAGUAAUCGCGGAUCAGCACGCCGCGGUGAAUACGUUCCCGGGUCUUGUACACACCGCCCGUCACACCAUGAGAGUUUGUAACACCCAAAGCCGGUGGGGUAACCUUUUAGGAGCCAGCCGUCUAAGGUGGGACAGAUGAUUAGGGUGAAGUCGUAACAAGGUAAGCGUAGAUGA